CUUCAGUAUAAAUUUUUCACCUCUAAAUUGACUACAAGUUCAUUGUCCCUUGGAAGAUAAAGCAACAUCUUUAUAUGGGCUCACAGUAAUUUUCACAGUUGAGAUCUAAGUGCUUUUUGCCAAUUCAAGUGUAUCUUCUGUAAUCAAAACAUUUUGGUUUAGAGCUUAAAUUUAGUAAAAUAAAAAAACUUUGAGCAAAUACAGAAAUCUUAAGUGUUCACCCCAUAAAUUCAAUUUGAGUAGUCUUCCAUUAUUUUUAUUUAAAAUUAUUUGAAUAUUGGUUGCAUAUUGUUUAAAUCUCCAGGAGUUUGAUGCCCAAGUUAAACAGUGACCAGUAUGCUCAGCAGCAGAGGAAGGAAGGCGUCUACAGCAAAUUGGUUCUGUGGCUGUCAUGAGCAGAUUGUCCAGGCCCCAGACAUUGCCUUUUGUUCCACUCCAUUAUCUGAGAACAACUCUGACUUCAAAUCUGAAGGACUGGCCAGCACCAUGCGAACACCAGGAAGCUGUGCCGGGAUUUCACUGUGAUGGCAGGGAUCAGAGUUUGAAGUGCAGUCCUGUGCUCUUAGCUUUCCCAGCAGAAGGGAAAAGUACUGCCAACUCUAGCAAGCAUGUGGCACCAAGGAGAAUUGUGUACUGAGACCAGUGGAUUUCAUGUCUUGGCACCCAGUGUACCAGAGUAAGAGUUAGUUCAUACUUCUGUUACAGAGGAAUCUCAACUAUUAUUUAGUCCAAGUGAUCCUUGUUUGAUUGCACUGAACAUUCUAUAGAAGUUGUGAAUAAAACCAAAGUGGGAAACA
Molecule: long non-coding RNA, 797 nt
Filed under: Parus major (Great Tit)
Lineage: Eukaryota; Metazoa; Chordata; Aves; Passeriformes; Paridae
Description: lncRNA (ENSPMJG00000010373.1)
Source: RNAcentral